Paramuricea clavata is the source of this 271-nucleotide non-coding RNA. The record is from the annotation of a GenBank genome assembly. Lineage: Eukaryota; Metazoa; Cnidaria; Anthozoa; Malacalcyonacea; Plexauridae.
AUUAAAAGUAUUUGCAUAAUCUUUUGUUUACCCCUCAAUUUCCCUAUUGUUCAAAGCCCUUCCCACUUGAAGUAAUUAAAUUCCUGGUCUAGACGGGGUAUCCAGAUAGAUACACGUGAUGUAAAUUACACCAUGUCAUUGGCCGAAAUGUAUGAAUAUCUAAUGAUGUGUGAGAACUUUAUUUAUCCACGCUGACCCCGUCAACCGUAGCUGAUUUCCACGGGGGGCGUGUGCCAGAAAAUUAUUUUACAUGCAGAAUAUGAUAAUGACA